RNAcentral lists this unclassified non-coding RNA (314 nucleotides) under uncultured Inocybe. RNAcentral's name for it is "sequence contains ITS2". The stretch from base 1 to 52 matches the Rfam family "5.8S ribosomal RNA", at positions 103 to 154 of the family's 154-position model. The record is from RNAcentral. Lineage: Eukaryota; Fungi; Basidiomycota; Agaricomycetes; Agaricales; Cortinariaceae.
AACGCAUCUUGCGCUCCUUGGUAUUCCGAGGAGCAUGCCUGUUUGAGUGUCAUCUAAGUCCUCAAACCACAUUGAUUUAUUUUUUUCGAUGAGGUUUGGAUGUUGGGGGGUUUUGUUUUGCAGGCUUUUAUAAAAUGAAGUCUGCUCCCCUGAAAUGCAUUAGUGGUAUCUGAGCAGAAGAACUACUACAGGUGUGAUAAUAUAUCUAUGCCUUGGUAAACGUGCUGCAUGAAAACAGAUUGCGCUGCUUCUAACACGAAUUUAUUCAUCAUUUUGGAGACCUCAAAUCAGGUAGGACUACCCGCUGAACUUAA